CAGAGGAUUAGUCUUAAUGGACCUUAACCUUUCGUGUCUUUCUCCUCUCCUCUCCUCAGACGAUCUCUUCGUGUUCCCUCUCCUCACACAAUCUCUCUCCACGAUCUCCUCACACGGAUCUUCUCCUCUCCUCACAUGUUUUUAUCUUCCACCGCUCUCGACGAACCCCUCUCCUCAAAACCCCUUCCCACUCUUCGAUCUCACCUCAUGGCGGUGUUAUAGAUCUUCCCUCCUUUCUCGCCCAUCGUCUCUGCCAAGCUCCAAGCCGUCGUCCUCUUCAACAUCUGCGACUGCUACGUCCGCCACCCGACUCGGCCGACGGCGUGAUUGGAACCCUCCUAGGCCGAUCGCUCUCUUGCUGAGUGAUCUUCCUCGACGCCGACUUCUCUCUUCUGUGGCUUGGUUGGUUACUCAUCGGGUUCUUGCAGCUUUUUGUAAGAGUUUUCAAAAAAUGGGUUCUUCAAGUCAUGCAAAAUCAACAGCUUUGCUUUGUCUGCGACUGGGGAUAGGCUAGUGCGAAGAUAAGAGACACCUUUGAUAUGAUUCCUGCCCUUUUCCUAGUGAUUGACAAGGUUUAAACAUUAGAAGAACUUAUCUUUUUGGCAAGGGGAAGAAGGAUUGAUUCAAGAUUUUAAUUGCCUAAAUGGUUAACUUUGGGAAGAAAUUGAUGGCUAAUCGAGUUCAAGAAUGGGAGAAGUCGUUGAUCUCUUGGUGCCUUAUUAAAGGGGUGGAAAGAUUAGACUUUUUGAUGGAGUUGGUGUGGGGAAGAUUGGAUUUAUUAUGGAACUAAUGAUCAACAAUAUUGGAAAAGGUUGACAUGAAAGAAUCAACAAGUGAGAAAGAGGAGUCUAAUGAAAUCCUACAAGUUGAAGAUUGUGAUGGGGCUUGGGUUGAUAAUAAUUAAGUGCAAUCCUAUAUGACAUGAACUACCAUCACAAGUUUUUAGUCUUUUGGCUAAUGUUCAUUAGUUGUAAAUGGAGUUUAUUUGUUUAUUUGUAUUGGAAUAAAUUUUAUUUGAACAUGAGACAUGUUUCUUCUUUUGUGAUUGUAAUUCUUGUAUAAGUAACAUUUUGAAUGACAAUGA
Long non-coding RNA from Zingiber officinale, 1084 nucleotides. RefSeq lists it as uncharacterized. The record is from RefSeq and is a predicted model, not a curated record. The transcript is spliced from 4 exons. Lineage: Eukaryota; Viridiplantae; Streptophyta; Magnoliopsida; Zingiberales; Zingiberaceae.